Myotis daubentonii (Daubenton's bat) is the source of this 558-nucleotide long non-coding RNA. RefSeq lists it as uncharacterized. The record is from RefSeq and is a predicted model, not a curated record. Lineage: Eukaryota; Metazoa; Chordata; Mammalia; Chiroptera; Vespertilionidae. The transcript has 3 exons.
CGCGCGCGUGUCUCCGGUGCGAGAGCCCCCAGCUGGCCCUGCCGCGGGGCGCGGCGAGUUGGGCUCCGGCAGGUGGUGACGCCGGCGGCGGCAGCUGGCUUUUCGUUUCUGCCCUGGCGAUCCGAUGGGCGGCAGAUUUUAUUCUUUGUCUUGCCUUAUUACACUGGCUGAAGUCUUUAACACAAUGAGUAUGGUGGAAGUGAUAUAAUGUGAGUUCUGGAUCCGGUGCCUUAAGAUGCUCGAAACUUCUACCCUGACUCUUUUGGAGCAAAGCUGCCAAGUAAAGAAGCUUAAGCUGGUUACCAAAUGAUGAGAAACUACUGGGAGAGGAAGGUCCCAGCCUCCAGCUACCCCCACCAAGGUCAAGGGACAAAUCUUAUGAGUCAUGAUGAUGAUCUUUACAUUUCAUGCUUAAUGUGGAAUAAACAUAUUGUAGAAUACAGUAGUCCCUCCUUAUCCACAGUUUCGCUUUUCGUGGUUUUAGUUACUGCAAACCGAGGUCCGAAAAUAUUACAUGAAAAAUCCCAGAAAUAAACAAUUCAUACAUUUUAAAUUGCA